GUCAUCAUCAAAAGAUCCAUCAUCAUGAAUGUCAUCAACGACUUCAUCAUCCUCAGUGUAAUCUAGGGAAUAAACAAUAUCCAAGCCUUCAUCAAAAGAUCCAUCAUCAGCGACGAAACCAUAGUCAUCAGUGGAAUCAUUGGGAUGACGCAGGUUUUUAAUCCUUUCAGCACAUAUUCUUCCCAAAUUUCCUGACAGAGUGACAUUGAAACAUUUCCUUAGGUCAAGUGAUUCGAGGUGAGGGCAACCAUCAAGUAUGGCCUGCAAACCAUCAUUUGUCAGCUGAUUUCCAAUAA
Molecule: long non-coding RNA, 296 nt
Organism: Quercus robur (English oak)
Lineage: Eukaryota; Viridiplantae; Streptophyta; Magnoliopsida; Fagales; Fagaceae
Exons: 2
Source: RefSeq, a predicted model, not a curated record